UGAGUGUUAUGAUGAUGGAAUAGCUUAGCUUUUCUUAGUCUAGCUCUGGUCUACCGCUGGGCGCAAGAUGCCCAGCGG
This is a non-coding RNA of Streptococcus thermophilus LMD-9, 78 nucleotides long. Lineage: Bacteria; Bacillati; Bacillota; Bacilli; Lactobacillales; Streptococcaceae. The record is from Rfam.